Small nuclear RNA from Otolemur garnettii (small-eared galago), 163 nucleotides. Its record names the gene U1. It matches the Rfam family "U1 spliceosomal RNA". Rfam says of the family: U1 is a small nuclear RNA (snRNA) component of the spliceosome (involved in pre-mRNA splicing). Its 5' end forms complementary base pairs with the 5' splice junction, thus defining the 5' donor site of an intron. The record is from Ensembl. NCBI's taxonomy places the organism in Eukaryota, Metazoa, Chordata, Mammalia, Primates, Galagidae.
AUACUUACCUAGCAGGGGAGAUACCAUGAUCAUGAAGGUGGUUUUCCCAGGAUGAGACUUACCCAUUGCACUCCAGAUGUGCUGACCCCUGCGAUUUCCCUAAAUGUGGAAACUCGACUGCAUAAUUUGUGGUAGUGGGGGACUGCGUUCAUGCUCUCCCCUG